UUGAUCCUGGCUCAGAAUCAACGCUGGCGGCGCGCUUAACACAUGCAAGUCGAGCGAGAAAGUGGAGCAAUCCAUGAGUACAGCGGCGUACGGGUGAGUUACACGUGGAUCAUCUACCUUCUAGUGGGGGAUAACCCUGGGAAACCGGGUCUAAUACCGCAUAAGCCUGUGAAGGGAAAGCAGCAAUGCGCUGGAAGAGUAGUCCGCGGCCGAUUAGCUAGUUGGUGAGGUAACGGCCCACCAAGGCGAUGAUCGGUAGCCGGCCUGAGAGGGCACACGGCCACACUGGCACUGAAACAUGGGCCAGACUCCUACGGGAGGCAGCAGUGGGGAAUCUUGCACAAUGGAGUCAACUCUGAUGCAGCGACGCCGCGUGAGCGAUGAAGCCCUUCGGGGUGUUAAGCUCUUUCGGCAGGAACGAUAAUGACGGUACCUGAAGAAGAAGCUGCUGCUAACUACGUGCCAGCAGCCGCGGUAAUU
RNAcentral lists this ribosomal RNA (480 nucleotides) under uncultured Acidobacteriota bacterium. Its description in RNAcentral is "bacterial SSU rRNA". It matches the Rfam family "Bacterial small subunit ribosomal RNA", at positions 13 to 525 of the family's 1533-position model. Lineage: Bacteria; Pseudomonadati; Acidobacteriota. The record is from RNAcentral.